Molecule: ribosomal RNA, 253 nt
Filed under: uncultured bacterium
Lineage: Bacteria
Description: partial 16S ribosomal RNA
Rfam family: Bacterial small subunit ribosomal RNA
Source: RNAcentral
UACGAAGGCGGCAAGCGUUGUUCGGAUUUACUGGGCGUACAGGGUGCGUAGGCGGUUGGAUAAGCCCUCCGUGAAAUCUCCAGGCUUAACCUGGAAAGUGCAGAGGGGACUGUUCAGCUAGAGGAUGGGAGAGGAGCGCGGAAUUCCCGGUGUAGCGGUGAAAUGCGUAGAGAUCGGGAGGAAGGCCGGUGGCGAAGGCGGCGCUCUGGAACAUUUCUGACGCUGAGGCUCGAAAGCGUGGGGAGCAAACAGG